Molecule: ribosomal RNA, 497 nt
Filed under: Ophiostoma ips
Lineage: Eukaryota; Fungi; Ascomycota; Sordariomycetes; Ophiostomatales; Ophiostomataceae
Description: eukaryotic LSU rRNA
Rfam family: 5.8S ribosomal RNA (bases 109-262)
Source: RNAcentral
UCUCCCCCCCUUAGGUCCCCUCGGGGCGCCCGCCAGCGGCCAGCGAGCCGCCCGAACUUAUCAAUCAACAGCAACCGUUCCGUCUGAGCAACAAACAAAAAUUAGCAAAACUUUCAACAACGGAUCUCUUGGCUCUGGCAUCGAUGAAGAACGCAGCGAAAUGCGAUACGUAAUGCGAAUUGCAGAAUUCAGCGAGUCAUCGAAUCUUUGAACGCACAUUGCGCCCGCCAGCAUUCUGGCGGGCAUGCCUGUCCGAGCGUCAUUUCCCCCCUCAGCGCGCUCUCGCGCUGGCGUUGGGGCUCCUCCGCCCCCCCGGGGCGGCAGGGCCCUCAAAACCAGUGGCGGGCCCAGCUGGUGGCUCCGAGCGCAGUACCGAACGCUUUGUUCUCCUCUCGCUCUGCAGCUCCGGCCGGCGCUCUGCCGUCAAGCCGCGCGGGUGGCCAGCGUCUUUUCGCUGCCGCCCCGCACUUUGUACCAAGGUGACCUCGGAUCAGGUA